GCUCGAGUGGCGAACGGGUGAGUAACACGUGAGUAACCUGCCCUUGACUUUGGGAUAACUUCAGGAAACUGGGGCUAAUACCGGAUAGGAGCUCCUGCUGCAUGGUGGGGGCUGGAAAGUUUCGGCGGUUGGGGAUGGACUCGCGGCUUAUCAGCUUGUUGGUGGGGUAGUGGCUUACCAAGGCUUUGACGGGUAGCCGGCCUGAGAGGGUGACCGGCCACAUUGGGACUGAGAUACGGCCCAG
RNAcentral lists this ribosomal RNA (244 nucleotides) under uncultured Actinomycetales bacterium. RNAcentral describes it as "partial 16S ribosomal RNA". It matches the Rfam family "Bacterial small subunit ribosomal RNA", at positions 89 to 334 of the family's 1533-position model. The record is from RNAcentral. Lineage: Bacteria; Bacillati; Actinomycetota; Actinomycetes; Actinomycetales.